AGCGAACGCUGGCGGCAGGCCUAACACAUGCAAGUCGAACGAACUCUUCGGAGUUAGUGGCGGACGGGUGAGUAACACGUGGGAACGUGCCUUUUGGUUCGGAAUAACUCAGGGAAACUUGUGCUAAUACCGAAUGUGCCCUUCGGGGGAAAGAUUUAUCGCCAUUAGAGCGGCCCGCGUCUGAUUAGCCAGUUGGUGAGGUAACGGCUCACCAAGGCGACGAUCAGUAGCUGGUCUGAGAGGAUGACCAGCCACACUGGGACUGAGACACGGCCCAGACUCCUACGGGAGGCAGCAGUGGGGAAUCUUGCGCAAUGGGCGAAAGCCUGACGCAGCCAUGCCGCGUGAAUGAUGAAGGUCUUAGGAUUGUAAAAUUCUUUCACCGGGGACGAUAAUGACGGUACCCGGAGAAGAAGCCCCGGCUAACUUCGUG
This 433-nucleotide ribosomal RNA is filed under the name uncultured bacterium. RNAcentral's name for it is "partial 16S ribosomal RNA". It matches the Rfam family "Bacterial small subunit ribosomal RNA", at positions 29 to 507 of the family's 1533-position model. The record is from RNAcentral.